AUUGAACGCUGGCGGCAUGCCUUACACAUGCAAGUCGAACGGCAGCACGGAGCUUGCUCUGGUGGCGAGUGGCGAACGGGUGAGUAAUAUAUCGGAACGUACCCUAGAGUGGGGGAUAACGUAGCGAAAGUUACGCUAAUACCGCAUACGAUCUACGGAUGAAAGUGGGGGAUCGCAAGACCUCAUGCUCGUGGAGCGGCCGAUAUCUGAUUAGCUAGUUGGUAGGGUAAAAGCCUACCAAGGCAUCGAUCAGUAGCUGGUCUGAGAGGACGACCAGCCACACUGGAACUGAGACACGGCCCAAACUCCUACGGGAGGCAGCAGUGGGGAAUCUUCCGCAAUGGACGAAAGUCUGACGGAGCAACGCCGCGUGAGUGAAGAAGGUUUUCGAAUCGUAAAGCUCUGUUGUCAGGGACGAGCAGGGGGAGUAUCAACAACACUCUCUCAUGACGGUACCUGACGAGGAAGCCACGGCUAACUACGUGCCAGCAGCCGCGGUAAUACGUAGGUGGCGAGCGUUGUCCGGAAUUAUUGGGCGUAAAGGGAGCGCAGGUGGGAAAGUAAGUCUGCUUUAAAAGUGCGGGGCUCAACCCCGUGAGGGAGUGGAAACUAUUUUUCUUGAGUGCAGGAGAGGAAAGCGGAAUUCCUAGUGUAGCGGUGAAAUGCGUAGAUAUUAGAGGAACACCAGUGGCGAAGGCGGCUUUCUGGACUGUAACUGACACUGAGGCUCGAAAGCCAGGGGAGCGAACGGGAUUAGAUACCCCGGUAGUCCUGGCCGUAAACGAUGGAUACUAGGUGUAGGAGGUAUCGACCCCUUCUGUGCCGGAGUUAACGCAAUAAGUAUCCCGCCUGGGGAGUACGAUCGCAAGAUUAAAACUCAAAGGAAUUGACGGGGGCCCGCACAAGCAGCGGAGCAUGUGGUUUAAUUCGAAGCAACGCGAAGAACCUUACCUGGACUUGACAUCCCCUGAAUAGCCUAGAGAUAGGCGAAGCCCUUCGGGGCAGGGAGACAGGUGGUGCAUGGUUGUCGUCAGCUCGUGUCGUGAGAUGUUAGGUUAAGUCCUGCAACGAGCGCAACCCUUAUCAUUAGUUGCUACCAUUAAGUUGAGCACUCUAGUGAGACUGCCCGGGUUAACCGGGAGGAAGGUGGGGAUGACGUCAAAUCAUCAUGCCCCUUAUGUCCAGGGCAACACACGUGCUACAAUGGUGGGUACAGAGAGAUGCAAUACCGCGAGGUGGAGCCAAACUCUAAAACCCAUCCCAGUUCGGAUUGUAGGCUGAAACUCGCCUACAUGAAGCUGGAGUUGCUAGUAAUCGCGAAUCAGAAUGUCGCGGUGAAUACGUUCCCGGGCCUUGUACACACCGCCCGUCACACCAUGAGAGCUGGCAACACCCGAAGUCCGUGAGAUAACCGUAAGGAGUCAGCGGCCGAAGGUGGGGUUAGUGAUUGGGGUG
Molecule: ribosomal RNA, 1455 nt
Filed under: uncultured bacterium
Lineage: Bacteria
Description: partial 16S ribosomal RNA
Rfam family: Bacterial small subunit ribosomal RNA
Source: RNAcentral